Molecule: ribosomal RNA, 500 nt
Filed under: uncultured bacterium
Lineage: Bacteria
Description: partial 16S ribosomal RNA
Rfam family: Bacterial small subunit ribosomal RNA
Source: RNAcentral
GAUGAACGCUAGCGGCAGGCUUAAUACAUGCAAGUCGAGGGGCAUCGCGGGUAGCAAUACCUGGCGGCGACCGGCGCACGGGUGCGUAACGCGUAUGUAAUCUACCUUUAACCGGGGAAUAGCCCAGAGAAAUCUGGACUAAUGCCCUAUAGUAUUAUUGGAAGGCAUCUUUCGAUAAUUAAAGCUCCGGCGGUUUUAGAUGAACAUGCGUGUCAUUAGUUAGUUGGCGAGGUAACGGCUCACCAAGACUACGAUGACUAGGGGGUCUGAGAGACUGAUCCCCCACACUGGUACUCAGACGCGGACCAGACUCCUACGGGAGGCAGCAGUAAGGAAUAUUGGGAAAUGGAGGCAACUCUGACCCAGCCAUGCCGCGUGAAGGAUGACGGCCCUCGUGGUUGUAAACUUCUUUUGUACGGGAAUAACCCUCCGAACUUGUUCGGAGCUGAAGGUACCGUAAGAAUAAGGAUCGGCUAACUCCGUGCCAGCAGCCGCGGUAA